Bombus impatiens (common eastern bumble bee) is the source of this 928-nucleotide long non-coding RNA. RefSeq lists it as uncharacterized. The transcript has 2 exons. NCBI's taxonomy places the organism in Eukaryota, Metazoa, Arthropoda, Insecta, Hymenoptera, Apidae. The record is from RefSeq and is a predicted model, not a curated record.
UCUCUCUCUUCUUUCUUUCUUUCCUUCUUUCUUCUUUCCUUUCAUAAAAAUUCACCGCGUAUUUCACAGCGUUUCCUCUUUCAUUCCAUUCUAUUUUUAUUACUGUGUUACAAAACAGCGCCCACCGCAAAAAGUUAUUACCGUUAACAUUUUCACGUAUCCAUCCAUUGUUUUGCAUGUUACGCUCCUUUACGUAUGUAUUGAUAUGUAUGUAUAGAUAAUUGUUAUUAUAUUUUAUCUGUCUCCAGUUUUAUUAAUAGCUUCAAUAAUGGCUACACCAUGACUAUGCGCAAAAGUAAAAAAUAUUAUAAAGAGUAUUCGUGCUUAGAAGAAGCUAAUGAGAAGGAAACGACUCAAAUCUGAAUCAAUGAAUCCGAAGAAUUCUCAUGUCUUGUAUCACGAUGCAAAAUCGAUUCAAGUACCUAUCUACUUACAUAGAAGACAUAUCGAUCGCUGUAUCGUAUUUAUACUCGUGCUCGUGGUACUUACGAUUCUUUUGUACUACGAUUACCGUUAUUAUUUUACUAUUUUUGUAGCAUAAAUCGUAUAUAUUUUUUGUAAAUGAUUCUAAUGAAACGAAAGCACUUUAUGUAUAAGAGAUUUGGACCUAUGAAAAUAUAAUUUUAAGCGAUGCGAGCAGAGGAUAUUACAGAUUGAGUAUACUUUUUUAAAAACCGGAAGGCAUUACAAACUUGUUACAUAUUAACUGUAAGUGUACAUUUUACAUGUGUGCCGAUCUUCGAGUAUUUUCGAGCUUUUCAAAAAGUAUCCAAGUAUUUUUCAAGUUUCCAGAUAAGUAUUUCUUCAGCUAACCAUACCUAUAUAUAUGUAUUUACUUACUUAUGCGUGUGUAUAUCCCAAUGUGAACGGUUUUAAGGUCUACAUAUGUAAGUAAUCGCUUCGAACUUGUUAACACCUCUUUUCGAAA